GAUGAACGCUGGCGGCGUGCCUAAUACAUGCAAGUCGAGCGAACGGACGAGAAGCUUGCUUCUCUGAUGUUAGCGGCGGACGGGUGAGUAACACGUGGAUAACCUACCUAUAAGACUGGGAUAACUUCGGGAAACCGUAGCUAAUACCGGAUAAUAUUUUGAACCGCAUGGUUCAAAAGUGAAAGACGGUCUUGCUGUCACUUAUAGAUGGAUCCGCGCUGCAUUAGCUAGUUGGUAAGGUAACGGCUUACCAAGGCAACGAUGCAUAGCCGACCUGAGAGGGUGAUCGGCCACACUGGAACUGAGACACGGUCCAGACUCCUACGGGAGGCGGCAGUAGGGAAUCUUCCGCAAUGGGCGAAAGCCUGACGGAGCAACGCCGCGUGAGUGAUGAAGGUCUUCGGAUCGUAAAACUCUGUUAUUAGGGAAGAACAUAUGUGUAAGUAACUGUGCACAUCUUGACGGUACCUAAUCAGAAAGCCACGGCUAACUACGUGCCAGCAGCCGCGGUAAUACGUAGGUGGCAAGCGUUAUCCGGAAUUAUUGGGCGUAAAGCGCGCGUAGGCGGUUUUUUAAGUCUGAUGUGAAAGCCCACGGCUCAACCGUGGAGGGUCAUUGGAAACUGGAAAACUUGAGUGCAGAAGAGGAAAGUGGAAUUCCAUGUGUAGCGGUGAAAUGCGCAGAGAUAUGGAGGAACACCAGUGGCGAAGGCGACUUUCUGGUCUGUAACUGACGCUGAUGUGCGAAAGCGUGGGGAUCAAACAGGAUUAGAUACCCUGGUAGUCCACGCCGUAAACGAUGAGUGCUAAGUGUUAGGGGGUUUCCGCCCCUUAGUGCUGCAGCUAACGCAUUAAGCACUCCGCCUGGGGAGUACGACCGCAAGGUUGAAACUCAAAGGAAUUGACGGGGACCCGCACAAGCGGUGGAGCAUGUGGUUUAAUUCGAAGCAACGCGAAGAACCUUACCAAAUCUUGACAUCCUUUGACAACUCUAGAGAUAGAGCCUUCCCCUUCGGGGGACAAAGUGACAGGUGGUGCAUGGUUGUCGUCAGCUCGUGUCGUGAGAUGUUGGGUUAAGUCCCGCAACGAGCGCAACCCUUAAGCUUAGUUGCCAUCAUUAAGUUGGGCACUCUAAGUUGACUGCCGGUGACAAACCGGAGGAAGGUGGGGAUGACGUCAAAUCAUCAUGCCCCUUAUGAUUUGGGCUACACACGUGCUACAAUGGACAAUACAAAGGGCAGCGAAACCGCGAGGUCAAGCAAAUCCCAUAAAGUUGUUCUCAGUUCGGAUUGUAGUCUGCAACUCGACUACAUGAAGCUGGAAUCGCUAGUAAUCGUAGAUCAGCAUGCUACGGUGAAUACGUUCCCGGGUCU
Molecule: ribosomal RNA, 1372 nt
Filed under: uncultured bacterium
Lineage: Bacteria
Description: bacterial SSU rRNA
Rfam family: Bacterial small subunit ribosomal RNA
Source: RNAcentral